RNAcentral lists this long non-coding RNA (510 nucleotides) under Phaseolus vulgaris (common bean). Its description in RNAcentral is "long non-coding RNA (PVUL_LNC005030)". The record is from RNAcentral. Lineage: Eukaryota; Viridiplantae; Streptophyta; Magnoliopsida; Fabales; Fabaceae.
UCAUUUCCCUCUCAUUUCCGUCUAACUCCUACCGCACUCCACUGGAACCCCACUGCAUAUUCCGUCCCUUUAUUUCGAUUCAAGGCAAGGUGAACACAAAUCAAGGUUAGGUUUCUUCUCCAUUCUCCAUUUUCACUAACUCUGGUUUGAGUACUGAUUUCGGUGCGGAUGUGGUAAGGAGAUUGAAAUUCAAUUGUGUUUUUUAUUUCUUCCAUUUUAGUUUUCGAUUUAGAAAUUUAUUGGUCCUGUGUUUUUGCUAUUGUUACUGUGCAUCGCAAGCUUCGACAAAUUUCGAAUCGGUAUUUGCAUUCAUGAAUCGGUGACACGAGAUUGAUCGGAGAACGGUGAAAUUCAAGUGACGCACUUUUUGGAGCAGAAUCGUUGGCAGUAACACACUUUUCCGGUGAUUUUCUGCUGGCUGUUUCAGUGCUGAUUUAUGAAAGUUUGGUGCAGAAUUUUUAUUUUUUCCAGCAGUGGAAAUCUGAAAUUGGUUUUGGUGCAGUGUAAAUU